UCAGGAUCAUUUCUUCCUUACCGAUUAGGUCAUCUCAAAACCUAAUCAGACUUGAUCUGAUUGAAUCUAAUUCAAUCAAACUUGAUCCAGACUUUAAUGCUCAAUUAAAUUAAGCUAAUUAGGGAUCUAAUCAUUAAUUAAUCUUUCAUUAAUGAUAGAGUCCAAGUCUAGUAGGACUCUUCCCUAGAGUCCCCGUCCAGUGGGACUUUCCAGCAGAGUCCCAGUCCAGUGAAACUUUUCACCAGAGUCUUCAUUCACUGGGACUUCUUAGAUUAGCCAUAUGAUCGAAGAGAAAUUUUUAAUAUGUGUGACCCGAUAGGUUCGAACCUAAGCCAGUAGCAUAGAAUCCGAGUUCUGUACCAAUCGAAGUAACCACCUAGCAAUGGUACCCUACGUCUGCAUAGGCUGAAUGCAUGCAAAGCAAUACUCAAGAAUCUAUUUGGAUAUAGUUACCGUAUAAUUCAUCCCUUUGACCUUUGAUGCUGGUUGACUUAGAGUUUAAAUUAUCAACUCUUAAUAGUACAUCCAUUAUGUGUCUUAACCUGAUAAAUCCUGUGACUCCUCACAUGGAUUGCCCUGGCCAAGAUCUUACUAAAUUUAAACACAAAAUAUUCUCUCCAAUCUCUUGGAGUGGUCAAUUUUAUCUUGACUCACACACCGACUUCACAAGUACUUGACUGUAUCCAAAAAUCUUUCAAUCUUGAAUUAGACAUUCAGGUAGUCCGACAUCAAAGCACAGUGAGUUACUUACAAGUCAUCAUGGUGA
Molecule: long non-coding RNA, 766 nt
Filed under: Elaeis guineensis (African oil palm)
Lineage: Eukaryota; Viridiplantae; Streptophyta; Magnoliopsida; Arecales; Arecaceae
Description: long non-coding RNA (EGUI_LNC072573)
Source: RNAcentral